This 308-nucleotide ribosomal RNA is filed under the name uncultured eukaryote. RNAcentral describes it as "partial 18S ribosomal RNA". It matches the Rfam family "Eukaryotic small subunit ribosomal RNA", at positions 1470 to 1796 of the family's 1831-position model. The record is from RNAcentral.
CCCUUAGACGUUCUGGGCCGCACGCGCGCUACACUGACGAAGGCAACGAGCUUUCCUUUACCGAAAGGUACGGGUAAUCUUUUGAAACUUCGUCGUGCUGGGGAUAGAUCCUUGCAAUUUUUGAUCUUAAACGAGGAAUGCCUAGUAAGCACAAGUCAUCAACUUGCGUUGAUUACGUCCCUGCCCUUUGUACACACCGCCCGUCGCUACUACCGAUUGAAUGGUUUAGUGAGGCCUUCGGAUCCGCGACUCGUUUUGUGGAGAAGUUGGACAAACUCAGUCAUUUAGAGGAAGUAAAAGUCGUAACA